AAGGGGCCCAGGUGUCCGGGAAAAAGGGCCCAGGCGUCCGGGAAAAGGGGCCCAGGUGUCCGGGAAGGGGCCCAGGAGUCCGGGAAAAGGGGCCCAGGUGUCUGGGAAAGGGGCCCGGGUGUCCGGGAAAAGGGGCCCAGGCGUCCGGGAAAAGGGGCCCAGGCGUCCGGGGAAGGGGCCCAGGCGUCCGGGAAAAGGGGCCCAGGCAUCCGGGAAGGGGCCCAGGUGUCCGGGGAAGGGGCCCAGGCGUCCGGGAAAAGGGGCCCAGGCAUCCGGGAAAAGGGGCCCAGGCAUCCGGGAAAAGGGGCCCAGG
RNAcentral lists this long non-coding RNA (313 nucleotides) under Apteryx rowi (Okarito brown kiwi). Its description in RNAcentral is "lncRNA (ENSARWG00000009187.1)". The record is from RNAcentral. Lineage: Eukaryota; Metazoa; Chordata; Aves; Apterygiformes; Apterygidae.